Long non-coding RNA from Vitis vinifera (wine grape), 1289 nucleotides. RefSeq lists it as uncharacterized. NCBI's taxonomy places the organism in Eukaryota, Viridiplantae, Streptophyta, Magnoliopsida, Vitales, Vitaceae. The transcript is spliced from 3 exons. The record is from RefSeq and is a predicted model, not a curated record.
AGAGGAAGGUGGCAUAAGUAGGAAUCGAAUAGCAGGCGCCGAAAAGCGCUUUGCAGCGAUCUACUCUGGGAGGCAAAAUCGUCCAAUAGGAAAUCGAAAUCUGUCUUGUCCAGACAGUGACUGCCCAGAGCUCAACAGCAGAGGGCUUCAGCACUUGUCUUGAAACUGGGUUUGCCUGUCAUGCUGCCGUGUUCAAUCCCUAGAAACUCCCAGUUUCUACUUCACGUUUUCCUUUCAUUCAAUCUCAGUUUUAGUAUUGCUUGUUUGAUUUCUCAGUGGAAGAUCCCUAUGGAUUAGGAGACUGUGAAUCCGGAAGACGGUUUCUAUGUCAGGUUUUUGAAGUGUUUGGGAAGUGCUUCUUCAAGCAAAAAAAUUGCAAACUUUAUGAUGAAAUCAGAAACUGAGUCUUUUGAGUUUUUUCAAUUUGUUGGGGAACUGAUGAAUGAAAGAGAUGAAGAGAAGGGAAAGGGGAACAAUGCAUGGUUUCCAUGUUGGUUGAAUCUUGGGCUUUCCCUACUUGUGAGGGCUUAGGUUACUCUUGGCAUGCGUUCGAAUUGAAUCUGGGUUAUUUGGAUUGUUGAAAGAGAUCAUCGAUUUCAUUUGUAGGAAUUUGGAGGAUGAAGUCUCGCUUAGCUCCUUCAGCCCAAUUGAUGGGUAGAAAAACCAUGUUCACAGUGAUUUAGUGAUGUGUUUUAUGUCUCUAAACAUUCCAGUGAGAUGCAUCUAGUGCAAGAAAAGAAGGGAAAUUUUACCAAACUAUAAUAAAGGGAAGCACAAUGUUAGGCACCCAAUCAUCAGCAACUUUGUGACCAUGGCUUCAGACUCUUUGCUUAGAGGCUUUCUUGUGAGGGACAUGGUUGAGAAGGAUUUUAUCUGUUCUAUCACAUAAAAAUUGAUAAAUGGCAUUCAGGUUGCUUUAAGACAGAUCCAUCAACAGUGAAGUUCUUAUGGAGCAGAAGAAAAUCCAAUUUCAUACAAAUUGGCUAUGUGGGAAGUUGGGAAAUUUGAGGAUAUACGAAUUAGCCAUGUCUGUCAGUCCAAGAAAAGUCAUGCUGACCCUUUGCUUAAGCAUCUUAGGAAAUUUGAGGAUAAACAUACACAUGCAUUAGUGUGACACGCAUGUCAAUCAUUGCAACCCAACAAUUGUUCUAUUGAUAAACUUUAUUUGGGCUACAAAUCGAAUGUUAAUUCUUAAAACCCUGACAUGAGGUUUUAGCACUUAGAAUUGGAUUUGUAUUGCUUAUGAAUAAUUAGAUGAAUGGGUAUUGUUAGAAAAGUUCUUUGAUUUC